This 253-nucleotide ribosomal RNA is filed under the name uncultured bacterium. Its description in RNAcentral is "partial 16S ribosomal RNA". It matches the Rfam family "Bacterial small subunit ribosomal RNA", at positions 524 to 776 of the family's 1533-position model. The record is from RNAcentral.
UACGAAGGGGGCUAGCGUUGCUCGGAAUUACUGGGCGUAAAGGGCGCGUAGGCGGCACUGUGAGUCAGGCGUGAAAGUCCUGGGCUCAACCUGGGAACUGCGCUUGAUACGGCAGAGCUAGAGGAUGGAAGAGGCUCGCGGAAUUCCCAGUGUAGAGGUGAAAUUCGUAGAUAUUGGGAAGAACACCGGUGGCGAAGGCGGCGAGCUGGUCCAUUACUGACGCUGAGGCGCGACAGCGUGGGGAGCAAACAGG